Molecule: ribosomal RNA, 460 nt
Filed under: uncultured bacterium
Lineage: Bacteria
Description: partial 16S ribosomal RNA
Rfam family: Bacterial small subunit ribosomal RNA
Source: RNAcentral
CCUACGGGAGGCAGCAGUGAGGAAUAUUGGUCAAUGGACGAGAGUCUGAACCAGCCAAGUAGCGUGAAGGAUGACUGCCCUACGGGUUGUAAACUUCUUUUAUAUGGGACUAACAUGUUCCACGUGUGGGUUUUUGUAUGUACCAUAUGAAUAAGGAUCGGCUAACUCCGUGCCCGCAGCCGCGGUAAUACGGAGGAUCCGAGCGUUAUCCGGCUUUAUUGGGUUUAAAGGGAGCGUAGGUGGAUUGUUAAGUCAGUUGUGAAAGUUUGCGGCUCAACCGUAAAAUUGCAGUUGACACUGGCAGUCUUGAGUACAGUAGAGGUAGGCGGAAUUCGUGGUGUAGCGGUGAAAUGCUUAGAUAUCACGAAGAACUCCGAUUGCGAAGGCAGUUCACUGAACUGCAACUGACACUGAGGCUCGAAAGUGUGGGUAUCAAACAGGAUUAGAUACCCCAGUAGUC